Molecule: ribosomal RNA, 668 nt
Filed under: Dujonia zeylanoides
Lineage: Eukaryota; Fungi; Ascomycota; Pichiomycetes; Serinales; Debaryomycetaceae
Description: LSU rRNA
Rfam family: Eukaryotic large subunit ribosomal RNA (bases 1-581)
Source: RNAcentral
CCAUGAGGGUAUUGCCUUAGUACGGCGAGUGAAGCGGCAAAAGCUCAAAUUUGAAAUCUGGCACCUUCGGUGUCCGAGUUGUAAUUUGAAGAAGGUAACUUUGGAGUUGGCUCUUGUCUAUGUUCCUUGGAACAGGACGUCACAGAGGGUGAGAAUCCCGUGCGAUGAGAUGCCCAAUUCUAUGUAAAGUGCUUUCGAAGAGUCGAGUUGUUUGGGAAUGCAGCUCUAAGUGGGUGGUAAAUUCCAUCUAAAGCUAAAUAUUGGCGAGAGACCGAUAGCGAACAAGUACAGUGAUGGAAAGAUGAAAAGAACUUUGAAAAGAGAGUGAAAAAGUACGUGAAAUUGUUGAAAGGGAAGGGCUUGAGAUCAGACUUGGUAUUUUGCGAUCCUUUCCUUCUUGGUUGGGUUCCUCGCAGCUUACUGGGCCAGCAUCGGUUUGGAUGGUAGGAUAAUGACUAAGGAAUGUGGCUCUACUUCGGUGGAGUGUUAUAGCCUUGGUUGAUACUGCCUGUCUAGACCGAGGACUGCGUCUUUUGACUAGGAUGUUGGCAUAAUGAUCUUAAGCCACCCCUCUUUAAGGGAGGGGCCAAACAAAACAAUAAAAAAUUUAUUAUACAUUUGGGGGAGGGUAAGGUUCGGGCCAAUGCCGUUGUGGGGGGGGUUGGUGG